AGCAGCCGCCGCGGUAAUACGUAGGGUGCGAGCGUUAAUCGGAAUUACUGGGCGUAAAGCGUGCGCAGGCGGUUUUGUAAGACAGGCGUGAAAUCCCCGGGCUCAACCUGGGAACUGCGCUUGUGACUGCACAGCUAGAGUAUGGCAGAGGGGGGUGGAAUUCCACGUGUAGCAGUGAAAUGCGUAGAGAUGUGGAGGAACACCGAUGGCGAAGGCAGCCCCCUGGGCCAAUACUGACGCUCAUGCACGAAAGCGUGGGGAGCAAAUGGGAUUAGAUACCCCUGUAGUCCCUGUCUCUUAUAC
Molecule: ribosomal RNA, 303 nt
Filed under: uncultured bacterium
Lineage: Bacteria
Description: partial 16S ribosomal RNA
Rfam family: Bacterial small subunit ribosomal RNA
Source: RNAcentral